GCAGCGCGGGGCAACCUGGCGGCGAGCGGCGAACGGGUGAGUAACACAUCGGAACGUACCCUGUUGUGGGGGAUAGCCCGGCGAAAGCCGGAUUAAUACCGCAUAAGACCUGAGGGUGAAAGCGGGGGACCGCAAGGCCUCGCGCGACAGGAGCGGCCGAUGGCGGAUUAGCUAGUUGGUGGGGUAAAGGCUCACCAAGGCGACGAUCCGUAGCUGGUCUGAGAGGAUGAUCAGCCACACUGGAACUGAGACACGGUCCAGACUCCUACGGGAGGCAGCAGUGGGGAAUUUUGGACAAUGGGGGCAACCCUGAUCCAGCCAUUCCGCGUGAGUGAAGAAGGCCUUCGGGUUGUAAAGCUCUUUCGGCAGGAACGAAACGGUGGGCUCUAACAUAGUCUGCUAAUGACGGUACCUGAAGAAGAAGCACCGGCUAACUACGUGCCAGCAGCCGCGGUAAUACGUAGGGUGCGAGCGUUAAUCGGAAUUACUGGGCGUAAAGCGUGCGCAGGCGGUUUCGUAAGACAGAUGUGAAAUCCCCGGGCUUAACCUGGGAACUGCGUUUGUGACUGCGAGACUGGAGUGUGG
RNAcentral lists this ribosomal RNA (585 nucleotides) under uncultured Gammaproteobacteria bacterium. RNAcentral's name for it is "bacterial SSU rRNA". It matches the Rfam family "Bacterial small subunit ribosomal RNA", at positions 69 to 651 of the family's 1533-position model. Lineage: Bacteria; Pseudomonadati; Pseudomonadota; Gammaproteobacteria. The record is from RNAcentral.